UAAUGUAUCGGAACGUGCCCAGUCGUGGGGGAUAACUGCUUGAAAGAGCAGCUAAUACCGCAUACGACCUGAGGGUGAAAGCGGGGGAUCGCAAGACCUCGCGCGAUUGGAGCGGCCGAUAUCAGAUUAGGUAGCUGGUGAGGUAAAGGCUCACCAAGCCGACGAUCUGUAGCUGGUCUGAGAGGACGACCAGCCACACCGGGACUGAGACACGGCCCAG
This 220-nucleotide ribosomal RNA is filed under the name uncultured bacterium. RNAcentral's name for it is "partial 16S ribosomal RNA". It matches the Rfam family "Bacterial small subunit ribosomal RNA", at positions 111 to 334 of the family's 1533-position model. The record is from RNAcentral.